RNAcentral lists this ribosomal RNA (989 nucleotides) under Nalepella tsugifoliae. RNAcentral describes it as "partial large subunit ribosomal RNA". The stretch from base 104 to 989 matches the Rfam family "Eukaryotic large subunit ribosomal RNA", at positions 1 to 650 of the family's 3401-position model. The record is from RNAcentral. Lineage: Eukaryota; Metazoa; Arthropoda; Arachnida; Trombidiformes; Phytoptidae.
UAAUGUGAUUUUGAUGUUAGUUGGUUUACUGGCUAGCGUUGGAGUCAACUUACAACAUUGAUCGGUGCAGCGUUACAAACUUUAGUGUUUAGUGAUAUCAAUGAUGCAUUACAGCAAUGUAAUGUAUCUCCUUUAGCCUAGAAUGCAAGUCCCAUUGACUUGGGCUUAUCUUCCAAUUGAGAUGACUAUAGUAUUGGGGCAACUUGGUACUAUGGUUGAGCCAUAGAGGGUGAAAGUCCCUUAACGUUCAGGUAUUGAUAUCACGAACUAGAGAGCCAGCAAUGGCAUUUUGUUAGAGUCGGGUUGCUUGAGAGUGCAACCUAAAGAGCGAGGUAAACUGCUCGUAAGGCUAUAGAAAUAUCGCUAUGACACCGAUAGCAAACAAGUACCGUGAGGGAAAGUUGCAAAGUACUUUGAAGAGAGAGUUAAACAGGGCGUGAAACCGCUAGCUGGUAAACGAGUGGAGCCACGAAGUCGUUUCGUAGAAUAAAGGAUACAAAUUCAAUCAAGGUUUCGGCUUUGGUGCACUUUUGUUUAUUCUUCUAUGUAUGCGUACACUGCAACCAAUUAGACAAUCAAUUGUGGAAACAAUUGUUCAACAUAGGAAGAAAUUUCUAUGUAGGAUAAUGAAAUGUUUAUAUGUUAGCUGUAGGUAGUCUGGUGUGAUCCUUGUGGUCAUUCUGGGUGUAUGACAUGCUAGCAUGAGAACUACAAUUGAAUACUGAUUGGCACAAUGAAAAUCCAUAAUUUGGUAUUAGAUAACACUGGCGAUGUUGUAUGUGUGUACAAGUAUUUAUUAUUAGCGUAAGCUUGGUAGUUUUAAAUUUAGGCUGGCAGGCUACCUUGGGUUUCGGCCUUUGGUGCUUGUUUAGUUUCCUAUCUAAUUGGCUAUUAACUUUGCUAUUAAUCUUGUGCUUGCUAUGAUAGCAUAUGUGCAACAAUUGUUUAGUUAUUAUUGGCAGUGAGUAGGUCGGCUUUCCACACGACCC